RNAcentral lists this long non-coding RNA (516 nucleotides) under Capra hircus (goat). RNAcentral's name for it is "lncRNA (ENSCHIG00010013692.1)". The record is from RNAcentral. Lineage: Eukaryota; Metazoa; Chordata; Mammalia; Artiodactyla; Bovidae.
AAAGAGUCACACAUGACUGAGCGACUUCACUUUAUGUCCACACAGGUGUCCAACAUACGUAUGUGAGUACAUGUGUACGUGCAUUUGAGUUUUUGAAAAUCGAUUACUCCUCUCCCUCUUUACAGCUCAUAAGAGGAGGAAAUCGAGGGCCCUGAAAACCUUAAAAGCUAAUUCACCCCAGAGGCAGAUCUUGAACCCACGAUCUGAUCACUGAGCUGUGUUCACUUCCAUGCCUCCACCUAAUUUCCGAUUGCAACCUAACAUGGGAGCCCAACCUGUCACAUGGAUUACCCAUAUCUUCUCUGUCAUCCUUCAGGUAAGUUAGCUGGUCCCUGUGCUCUGCUUUGAAGCUUGUGUUUUAAUUUGAGAACUAGUCCUGCAAGUACUGAAGCUCAUGUAAGUUACCCUCCAUUAUAAUCCCCAACAAUCAGACAGUAGUCCCGGGACCCAGAGUUUAGCAUGCAGUGACUGGCACACUAUACACAUGGGCCCCAAGGGACAGAGAUUGGGGAAGUC